UGCUUCUCGCUAAAAUAUGAGAAGUAAUUCCUGCCCAGUGACUUAGUUCAACGGCCGCGGUAUCCUAACCGUGCAAAGGUAGCAUAAUCACUUGCCCAUUAAUUGUGGGCUAGAAUGAAAGGACUAACGAAAUAAAAACUGUCUCUGUAAGCCUAAUAAAAAUUAAUCUCUAACUGAAGAGUGUUAGAUACCGUCGAAGGACAAGAAGACCCUAUAGAGCUUUAUUUUAACAAAAUCCAAAAAUUUUCAAUAAAAUUCGGUUGGGGCGACCAGGGAAUAUAAAUCAUCCCCUAUAAACAGAUAACUUAAUCUAGACUCUGACCCUUAAACAAGAUCAACAAAUCAAGCUACCUUAGGGAUAACAGGCUAAUCCCGCUAAAGAGUCCUUAUCAAUAGUGGGGGUUGGCACCUCGAUGUUGGCUUAGGGAAUCUAUGCGGCGCAAAAGUCGCAUAAAGAUGGUUUGUUCAA
RNAcentral lists this ribosomal RNA (469 nucleotides) under Aporrectodea nocturna. RNAcentral describes it as "partial 16S ribosomal RNA". It matches the Rfam family "Bacterial large subunit ribosomal RNA", at positions 1817 to 2584 of the family's 2925-position model. Lineage: Eukaryota; Metazoa; Annelida; Clitellata; Crassiclitellata; Lumbricidae. The record is from RNAcentral.